RNAcentral lists this transfer RNA (71 nucleotides) under Bos taurus (domestic cattle). It matches the Rfam family "tRNA". From Rfam's summary of the family: Transfer RNA (tRNA) molecules are approximately 80 nucleotides in length. Their secondary structure includes four short double-helical elements and three loops (D, anti-codon, and T loops). The record is from Rfam by way of RNAcentral. Lineage: Eukaryota; Metazoa; Chordata; Mammalia; Artiodactyla; Bovidae. RNAcentral also lists the same sequence under 5 other names.
UCUCAGGUGGCCUAGUGGUAAAGAAUCUGCCUGCAAUGCAGGAGACCCGGGUUCAAUCCCUGGGUCGGGAA